This 459-nucleotide ribosomal RNA is filed under the name uncultured bacterium. RNAcentral's name for it is "bacterial SSU rRNA". It matches the Rfam family "Bacterial small subunit ribosomal RNA", at positions 26 to 507 of the family's 1533-position model. The record is from RNAcentral.
AUCCCUGGCUACAGAACGAACGCUGGCCGGCAGGCCCUAAACACAGUGCAAGUCGAGCGAUCCCUUCGGGGAUAGCCGGCGGACGGGUGAGUAACGCCGUGGGAACGUACCCUUUGCUACGGAAUAGCCUCGGGAAACUGGGAGUAAUACCGUAUGUGCCCUUCGGGGGAAAGAUUUAUCGGCAAAGGAUCGGCCCCGCGUUGGAUUAGGUAGUUGGUGGGGUAAUGGCCUACCCAAGCCUACGAUCCAUAGCUGGUUUGAGAGGAUGAUCAGCCACACUCGGGACUGAGACACGGCCCCAGACUCCUACGGGAGGCAGCAGUGGGGAAUCCUUAGACAAUGGGGGCAACCCUGAUCUAGCCAUGCCGCGUGAGUGAUGAAGGCCUUAGGGUUGUAAAGCUCUUUCAGCUGGGAAGAUAAUGACGGUACCAGCAGAAGAAGCCCCCGGCUAACUCCGUG